Molecule: ribosomal RNA, 1172 nt
Filed under: Campylobacter coli
Lineage: Bacteria; Pseudomonadati; Campylobacterota; Epsilonproteobacteria; Campylobacterales; Campylobacteraceae
Description: partial 23S ribosomal RNA
Rfam family: Bacterial large subunit ribosomal RNA
Source: RNAcentral
AAAAAAGGUAAGCUACUAAGAGCGAAUGGUGGAUGCCUUGACUGGUAAAGGCGAUGAAGGACGUACUAGACUGCGAUAAGCUACGGGGAGCUGUCAAGAAGCUUUGAUCCGUAGAUUUCCGAAUGGGGCAACCCAAUGUAUAGAGAUAUACAUUACCUAUAUAGGAGCGAACGAGGGGAAUUGAAACAUCUUAGUACCCUCAGGAAAAGAAAUCAAUAGAGAUUGCGUCAGUAGCGGCGAGCGAAAGCGCAAGAGGGCAAACCCAGUGCUUGCACUGGGGGUUGUAGGACUGCAAUGUGCAAGAGGUGAGUUUAGCAGAACAUUCUGGAAAGUAUAGCCAUAGAGGGUGAUAGUCCCGUAUGCGAAAAACAAACCUUAGCUAGCAGUAUCCUGAGUAGGGCGGGACACGAGGAAUCCUGUCUGAAUCCGGGUCGACCACGAUCCAACCCUAAAUACUAAUACCAGAUCGAUAGUGCACAAGUACCGUGAGGGAAAGGUGAAAAGAACUGAGGUGAUCAGAGUGAAAUAGAACCUGAAACCAUUUGCUUACAAUCAUUCAGAGCCCUAUGUAGCAAUACAGGGUGAUGGACUGCCUUUUGCAUAAUGAGCCUGCGAGUUGUGGUGUCUGGCAAGGUUAAGCAAACGUGAAGCCGUAGCGAAAGCGAGUCUGAAUAGGGCGCUUAGUCAGAUGCUGCAGACCCGAAACGAAGUGAUCUAUCCAUGAGCAAGUUGAAGCUAGUGUAAGAACUAGUGGAGGACUGAACCCAUAGGCGUUGAAAAGCCCCGGGAUGACUUGUGGAUAGGGGUGAAAGGCCAAUCAAACUUCGUGAUAGCUGGUUCUCUCCGAAAUAUAUUUAGGUAUAGCGUUGUGUCGUAAUAUAAGGGGGUAGAGCACUGAAUGGGCUAGGGCAUACACCAAUGUACCAAACCCUAUCAAACUCCGAAUACCUUAUAUGUAAUCACAGCAGUCAGGCGGCGAGUGAUAAAAUCCGUCGUCAAGAGGGAAACAACCCAGACUACCAGCUAAGGUCCCUAAAUCUUACUUAAGUGGAAAACGAUGUGAAGUUACUUAAACAACCAGGAGGUUGGCUUAGAAGCAGCCAUCCUUUAAAGAAAGCGUAAUAGCUCACUGGUCUAGUGAUUUUGCGCGGAAAAUAUAACGGGGCUAAAGU